Molecule: ribosomal RNA, 429 nt
Filed under: Pseudomonadota bacterium
Lineage: Bacteria; Pseudomonadati; Pseudomonadota
Description: Proteobacteria bacterium partial 16S ribosomal RNA
Rfam family: Bacterial small subunit ribosomal RNA
Source: RNAcentral
UGGGGAAUAUUGGACAAUGGGCGAAAGCCUGAUCCAGCCAUGCCGCGUGUGUGAAGAAGGUCUUCGGAUUGUAAAGCACUUUAAGUUGGGAGGAAGGGCAGUAAGCGAAUACCUUGCUGUUUUGACGUUACCGACAGAAUAAGCACCGGCUAACUCUGUGCCAGCAGCCGCGGUAAUACAGAGGGUGCAAGCGUUAAUCGGAAUUACUGGGCGUAAAGCGCGCGUAGGUGGUUCGUUAAGUUGAAUGUGAAAGCCCCGGGCUCAACCUGGGAACUGCAUCCAAAACUGGCGAGCUAGAGUAGGGCAGAGGGUGGGGGAAUUUCCUGUGUAGCGGUGAAAUGCGUAGAUCUAGGAAGGAACACCAGUGGCGAAGGCGACCACCUGGGCUCAUACUGACACUGAGGUGCGAAAGCGUGGGGAGCAAACAGG